UACGGAGGGAGCUAGCGUUGUUCGGAAUUACUGGGCGUAAAGCGCACGUAGGCGGCUUUGUAAGUUAGAGGUGAAAGCCCGGGGCUCAACUCCGGAAUUGCCUUUAAGACUGCAUCGCUCGAAUCCGGGAGAGGUGAGUGGAAUUCCGAGUGUAGAGGUGAAAUUCGUAGAUAUUCGGAAGAACACCAGUGGCGAAGGCGGCUCACUGGACCGGUAUUGACGCUGAGGUGCGAAAGCGUGGGGAGCAAACAGG
Molecule: ribosomal RNA, 253 nt
Filed under: uncultured bacterium
Lineage: Bacteria
Description: partial 16S ribosomal RNA
Rfam family: Bacterial small subunit ribosomal RNA
Source: RNAcentral